AGCGGGGCUGAAGCCCUGGGCCCGGCAGAGGAAGGUCGAGAUGGACCAUGUUGGGCCCCUUCUCUCCCCGCCCCCAGGCCGCAGUUCGGGGGCCACGCCCCGGCGUGCUCGGGUCACCGCGGGAAGCCCUUGAACCCCCUGGCGCCCGGCACCCACGUGCGGUAACCGCGGCUCCUCGAGAGCUCCAGGGAUGCGGAUCUACAGUAAGGGCUGUGGCCAGAUGAAUGAAUGCACAUUUUUUAGUGGGCAGAAAGAUGUUAGAAUUCAUGAAUUAGAAUAAGCACAAAGGAGGGCGAGAGGGGAGGCCGUGGAAGCCGCAUUCCUCCCCUUGCCUUGGGCGCCCACCCCCGAAGGGGCGCGUCCCCUCCCUGCUCCACUGCACGUGGGUGUUUAACCAGGGGAUAUCCAGUGCCUCAAGCACCACGACCCGGGAGAAAACUGAGUUGAGAAGGCCUUGGGGAUGAAGGUGAGAAAUUCGAGAAUCCCCGGAGAUAACACAUCAGCAAAUAGUGCGCAGGCAGAACAAGCUGUUGGAGGUGAGAGACACAGAGCAGAGAAGCACCCGCACCUGGAGAGUCAGGAGGGCCUCACAUCAGAACGCCUGAGCAAAUACAGUUUUGAAGGAUACUAAUUUUUUAAAAAGUUCAUUCACAUGAGUUAGACAAAGAGAAAGAAGCAGGACAUUCUAGGAAGAAGGAACGGCCCAGGCAAAAGCGACGCGUACAUUGGCGUGGGUCCAUUCAAGAAUUGUGCCCACAAUAUACCAGGCACUUGUCCAGACCUGCAUCGUCCAAUGCCCACCUCGACCUCCCAAAGUGUUGGGAUUAGAGGCGUGAGCCACCGCGCCCUGCCUGCAUGUGGCUAUUGAGAUGUGCUGUAUGAUACACACCGGACUUUGAAGACUCAGUGUGAAAAAUAAAAAGAAUUUUAAGAGGGGUGGGGGUCGAGGGGAGGCAGAGCAGUAGGACAAAUAGCUAAUGCACGCAGGGCUUAAAACCUAGACAACAGGUUGAUGGGUGCAGCAAACCACCAUGACACAUGUUUAUCUAUAUAGCACCUACAUGUUCUGCACUUGUAUCCUGGAACUUAAAAUUAGAAAAAAAAAAUAAUAAAAGCCAACAUGGCAUUCAUUACUGCCAAAAAAAUU
Molecule: long non-coding RNA, 1147 nt
Filed under: Homo sapiens (human)
Lineage: Eukaryota; Metazoa; Chordata; Mammalia; Primates; Hominidae
Description: non-protein coding RNASEH1-AS1:16
Source: RNAcentral